GGCGUGCGAUACAGGGUGACAGCCCCGUACACAAAAAUGCACAUACUGUGAGCUCGAUGAGUAGGGCGGGACACGUGGUAUCCUGUCUGAAUAUGGGGGGACCAUCCUCCAAGGCUAAAUACUCCUGACUGACCGAUAGUGAACCAGUACCGUGAGGGAAAGGCGAAAAGAACCCCGGCGAGGGGAGUGAAAAAGAACCUGAAACCGUGUACGUACAAGCAGUGGGAGCACGCUUAGGCGUGUGACUGCGUACCUUUUGUAUAAUGGGUCAGCGACUUAUAUUCUGUAGCAAGGUUAACCGAAUAGGGGAGCCGAAGGGAAACCGAGUCUUAACUGGGCGUUAAGUUGCAGGGUAUAGACCCGAAACCCGGUGAUCUAGCCAUGGGCAGGUUGAAGGUUGGGUAACACUAACUGGAGGACCGAACCGACUAAUGUUGAAAAAUUAGCGGAUGACUUGUGGCUGGGGGUGAAAGGCCAAUCAAACCGGGAGAUAGCUGGUUCUCCCCGAAAGCUAUUUAGGUAGCGCCUCGUGAAUUCAUCUCCGGGGGUAGAGCACUGUUUCGGCAAGGGGGUCAUCCCGACUUACCAACCCGAUGCAAACUGCGAAUACCGGAGAAUGUUAUCACGGGAGACACACGGCGGGUGCUAACGUCCGUCGUGAAGAGGGAAACAACCCAGACCGCCAGCUAAGGUCCCAAAGUCAUGGUUAAGUGGGAAACGAUGUGGGAAGGCCCAGACAGCCAGGAUGUUGGCUUAGAAGCAGCCAUCAUUUAAAGAAAGCGUAAUAGCUCACUGGUCGAGUCGGCCUGCGCGGAAGAUGUAACGGGGCUAAACCAUGCACCGAAGCUGCGGCAGCGACGCUUAUGCGUUGUUGGGUAGGGGAGCGUUCUGUAAGCCUGUGAAGGUGUACUGUGAGGUAUGCUGGAGGUAUCAGAAGUGCGAAUGCUGACAUAAGUAACGAUAAAGCGGGUGAAAAGCCCGCUCGCCGGAAGACCAAGGGUUCCUGUCCAACGUUAAUCGGGGCAGGGUGAGUCGACCCCUAAGGCGAGGCCGAAAGGCGUAGUCGAUGGGAAACAGGUUAAUAUUCCUGUACUUGGUGUUACUGCGAAGGGGGGACGGAGAAGGCUAUGUUGGCCGGGCGACGGUUGUCCCGGUUUAAGCGUGUAGGCUGGUUUUCCAGGCAAAUCCGGAAAAUCAAGGCCGAGGCGUGAUGACGAGGCACUACGGUGCUGAAGCAACAAAUGCCCUGCUUCCAGGAAAAGCCUCUAAGCAUCAGGUAACAUCAAAUCGUACCCCAAACCGACACAGGUGGUCAGGUAGAGAAUACCAAGGCGCUUGAGAGAACUCGGGUGAAGGAACUAGGCAAAAUGGUGCCGUAACUUCGGGAGAAGGCACGCUGAUACGUAGGUGAAGCGACUUGCUCGUGGAGCUGAAAUCAGUCGAAGAUACCAGCUGGCUGCAACUGUUUAUUAAAAACACAGCACUGUGCAAACACGAAAGUGGACGUAUACGGUGUGACGCCUGCCCGGUGCCGGAAGGUUAAUUGAUGGGGUUAGCGCAAGCGAAGCUCUUGAUCGAAGCCCCGGUAAACGGCGGCCGUAACUAUAACGGUCCUAAGGUAGCGAAAUUCCUUGUCGGGUAAGUUCCGACCUGCACGAAUGGCGUAAUGAUGGCCAGGCUGUCUCCACCCGAGACUCAGUGAAAUUGAACUCGCUGUGAAGAUGCAGUGUACCCGCGGCAAGACGGAAAGACCCCGUGAACCUUUACUAUAGCUUGACACUGAACAUUGAGCCUUGAUGUGUAGGAUAGGUGGGAGGCUUUGAAGUGUGGACGCCAGUCUGCAUGGAGCCGACCUUGAAAUACCACCCUUUAAUGUUU
Molecule: ribosomal RNA, 1878 nt
Filed under: Escherichia coli
Lineage: Bacteria; Pseudomonadati; Pseudomonadota; Gammaproteobacteria; Enterobacterales; Enterobacteriaceae
Description: partial 23S ribosomal RNA
Rfam family: Bacterial large subunit ribosomal RNA
Source: RNAcentral